RNAcentral lists this non-coding RNA (28 nucleotides) under Mus musculus (house mouse). Lineage: Eukaryota; Metazoa; Chordata; Mammalia; Rodentia; Muridae. The record is from RNAcentral.
UGCUAAAGUGUCACAUCCCAGCCCUAGG